UUUUUUUUUCUACACUUCUUCUUUCCGUUUCUCUUCUUAUUUAUAGGCUGAAAUAAUCACUAUUCAUCACUAUUCAUCACUGUUCACCCGUGACAGACAAACUCUAUCAAAGCCGCCAAAUGAACAGUAAUGAACAGUAAUGUGGGCUCCAUAUCAAGACUUUUACAACAAAAUUAAGAUAUUAUGAGACUUUUAUUCAGAUAAUGAUUAAAUGGAAUAACUAUUACAGGAGGUGGAUAUCAUCCAUUAUCUCCACGUUUUGGCUAGCAGUUGUCUCUUAAUAGGAGAGUCAGUUGUAAAGCAACUUGUAUAAAAGGCUUGGUCUCUGCUCUCAUAUUCACACGUUCAUAUUCUGUAUGCUUGUCCUAUUGAAAGCCUUGACAUUUUGGAAUACUGAGAAGACAAUAUCAUCUUGUAUAUCUGAUUAUGGCUAAUUCAAGUAAGUCUUAUCUCUAAUCGUUCUAUUGUUUAAUUGUCAAAUUUGUGUUAAGGUGUGGUUUAAGUGCUAAAUUGGUUCAAGAUUAUUUUGCAUACAGUAAACGUCUACAUACAGAUGAUUGCACUCACAUGACUUGGGGUUCCCUUCUCAAAACUAAAAGGGAAGCCAUUUUAAAGUUUCAACAGUUCCAUAAAAUAGUAGAAACACAAUUUCAGGCCGGAAUCCAAUCGUGUCAUUGUGAAAAAGUUAUCAAACCUAAAACAUCAUUGCAUGUCAUUGCGAUAAGGAUUGAGGAUGAUGAAGAUUCAAGAACGCCAC
Molecule: long non-coding RNA, 757 nt
Filed under: Prunus persica (peach)
Lineage: Eukaryota; Viridiplantae; Streptophyta; Magnoliopsida; Rosales; Rosaceae
Description: long non-coding RNA (PPER_LNC002409)
Source: RNAcentral